GUUAAGAUGUGUCCGUUUGUA
This 21-nucleotide non-coding RNA is filed under the name Rattus norvegicus (Norway rat). The record is from RNAcentral. Lineage: Eukaryota; Metazoa; Chordata; Mammalia; Rodentia; Muridae.